Long non-coding RNA from Chelonia mydas (Green sea turtle), 859 nucleotides. RefSeq lists it as uncharacterized. Lineage: Eukaryota; Metazoa; Chordata; Testudines; Cheloniidae. The transcript is spliced from 2 exons. The record is from RefSeq and is a predicted model, not a curated record.
CAAUAGGGUCCGCUAGCAGAGACUUCUGCCCUCCUGGGACCUGGCAGACUUCCCGGAGGCAGAGCAGGCUCCUGAUUGCAGGAUUAGGGCAUUAGAUGGUUUUUUUUUUUUUAAAAAAAAAAAAUGGGCCCAGACCUCGAGGCCUGAAUAAUGAUGUGGUGACAUUAUUGGCUGGGUGACAGUAGAUGCCAACUGAAGUGGACACAGAAGAAAGAAUUCUUUAUAUUUAAUUGGAAAUGCUUGCACUGUGUGGAGCCAGAUAUUUAAAGCUCUCUUUUUUCUCCCCUUUUCAGUAAGUUUUGUGGGGAACUAGUGAUUUCAUAACCGCAGGAAUUAAAAGUCAUGAACAUCAAGUAUUUAUGCAGUUUGUGGAAGAGACUUCUGUAUGCAGCGUUGGAGACCGCUAAAGUUACCCCAGCACAGGUUUCAAUGACAUUUGCAGCAAAAUUAGUCUUAUGCCAAAACGCUGUAACGCACCUGGUGCCUGCUACUAGAGAUGAUCUUGAGCCUUAAAUAAUUUAAAAAAAAAAAAAAGUUAUUUUCUUUAAAGGCAACCUGCAUAUUUUUAUAAAGUGAAGCAAGUAUCCUGAACACCUAAAUUAGACUAAGGUCUUCAGAGCAUUGCCUGAAGAGGUCAUCAUACAUACAGUUCCUAGUAAUACGGUGCUUUAAUCAUGACAGGGGCCUCAACAGGCUACUACAAUACAAAUAAUGUAGCAGUUAAGAGACUUUCAAGCUUGUUUCAAGGCAUAUUUUAGAUCUUUCAGUUUAGUUGGAGCUGAAAAGGAUUGUGUCUAGUGAUGUACCAGUGUGCCCCAAAUGUAAAGGAAAUGACAAGAUACAAUUAAAGCAAGUAAAA